UCCCACCCCUACCCCACGUAACCACCCCUCCCUCACGUUUCUUCUCCAAAAAGAAAGAAAAAAAAAACUAACAGAAAAGGAAGUCAAAUUUUUUUAUUUUUUUUUUCAAUUGCACAAAAGAGGGACCCAUACACAUACUAGACUACAAAAAAAAAGAAAAAUACACUAAGGGGAGCUGCUUUUCUUCUGGACGAAGGGAUACACCCAGAAGCUCCCUUUUUGGAGAUUUUUUUUCGGAUAGACUUCUCACAAAAUGCUCUGCUUCUCCAACAAUACUCCAUAAACAAUAUACACAGACCAAUCAUAAAUUCCCCAUGAUCUUCCAUUUUUCUACGCAUAGAAACAGAGAGGGAGAGAGACGGAAAGGAUGAGAGAGACACUGAAAGAGAAGAAGUCGACUGUAGAUCAAGUUUUCCGGUCACUCUUCACCAAAAAAACACUUCCCUAGCUCUGAUUUAACUUCAAAAUCCAUCAAUAACUCGAUCUAAACCAUCUCCAUUACUGAAAACCAAGGUCGAGUAGUUUUAAACCAAUCUGAAAUCGUCCUGUUUUGGGUUGAUUCCGAUCAUUUCGAGUUUGAUUUCGUCAUAUGCAGGGUCAACUUUGGUCUGUUCGGUUUAAUUCUGGUCAGUUCGGUUUAGUUUCAGCUCGUCGGGGGGUUUGUGUUGAAUACUCUCAAGUCGUUUUCAUGGAUUUUGGUAUUUGAAUCGGAAUGCGAAUUCAGGUUUUGUACCGAAUUGGUUCGUCGUUGAGGUUCUCUAUUCGAGAUUCCAAGUCCGGGUUCUCUUAAACAUUAUUAUUAUCAACGAAUCUGUUCUUCAAAGGUCCAUCUCUUGACUCUACUCUUUUAUCUCGAAAUUGGUUAAUGUCAUAAGUUUAUGGUGUGGCUUUGAAUAUUUUGAGCAAAAUAUUAAUUGUGGGUGUGGAUGACUUGUAUGCCUAAGUUCGAAUCUUCGUUGGAUGUAUAUGUUUGAAGUUGAUUUUAGAUUUUUGAAAAGUGGUUUGAUAAUCGAAAAAUUUGUUAACCAUGGCUUGAGGAUUAAACUUGUUGAUUUGGGGGUCGGGAUUGAAAAUUGAUAAUCAAAUAAGUUGAAGGUUGUUUGUUUUGAUUCAUUACUGACUAUUGUCGAAUUGGAUAGUAUCAUGAUAGGUCAAGUGGGUAGGCAAUCGUAGGUUUGGGUAGGCAAAAUUUAGAAAUAAAUGUUUCGUUGGAUGUUUAAAUGUGGAGUAUGUGUUGAAUGCUUUCUACUUUAUCGCAUUCGAUGCAAAUAUAUUUAUUUAGCCGGGGAAUGCCCUGACGUAUCAUGUUGGCGGAAAAUGAUCGUGAUGAAGGCCCGCGGCAUCGGGUAAGGUAUUGGAGCUUAGUCUAGAUUUAGUUUAGAAUAGGAUUUAUAUUUUCGUAUUUUUCUAUUUUUGGACUGGACUUUACAUUUUUGGAUUGUUUUGUUUUGUUUAUUGUUUGAUUAUUUUGCGUGCUUUUGUGUGGUUUAUACAUUUCUUAAUGUCAAUCUAGCCGAUACGCUCUGCCAAGCGACCGUGGUCAAACCACGGGGUCGAGGAGUGCCUAACACCUUCCCCUCG
RNAcentral lists this long non-coding RNA (1581 nucleotides) under Capsicum annuum. RNAcentral describes it as "long non-coding RNA (CANN_LNC009695)". Lineage: Eukaryota; Viridiplantae; Streptophyta; Magnoliopsida; Solanales; Solanaceae. The record is from RNAcentral.